RNAcentral lists this small RNA (96 nucleotides) under Salmonella enterica. RNAcentral's name for it is "partial RtT sRNA". It matches the Rfam family "RtT RNA", at positions 1 to 95 of the family's 130-position model. Rfam says of the family: This family represents a bacterial cis-regulatory element known as RtT RNA. The exact function of RtT is unknown although it is thought that it may be involved in changing the cellular response in relation to amino acid starvation. Lineage: Bacteria; Pseudomonadati; Pseudomonadota; Gammaproteobacteria; Enterobacterales; Enterobacteriaceae. RNAcentral also lists the same sequence under 1 other name. The record is from RNAcentral.
UAUCUCUCCGUACGGGGAAGGAUGAGAAGCUUCGACUAAGGUUCGAUUCGAGCGCAGCGAGAAAACGUUGCCGCAGGCAACGACCCGAAGGGUGAG